CCGGAGUUGCCAAGGCAAAUUGAUUGUUUAUAUGAAAAAACAAGUUGUGUUGAUUCCCGCAUAGAAAAUUACCAUUCUUUAAACUAGACAAACUGUUCCAAGAGUAUAUUGGAAACGGUUACAUAUUUCGGUUAUGGUUAUGGUUAUUUUCCAAUCUAGCACUUGGAAAUAACAAUCCUGUUGGAACCAAUGCACAUCAACCAGCAACGGCAUCGCUCGGGAAAUUUAAACAGUAGAACAGAAUCGAAUUUACAAUAGGAGGGGAAAAUAUCGUCCUGAUUAGUGCAGUUACUCGAAAUUAUGUACGGGCUACAUCUUUCAACUGUAGUGCAUAGUGCGAACGCGAAAUUGGUUCCGAGAAAGAACAAAAGAUUGGUUUUGUCAACUACUUUCACUCCCCCAUUGCCUGGAAAUAGUUCAACAUGACUGCCGCUGGAUGUGCAAUUUUGAAAAGCAGAUAUUUGUUGUAGUACGACCUUAUGGAGUAAAUAAAUUUCAUAUAUUCUGUACUA
Molecule: long non-coding RNA, 512 nt
Organism: Aedes aegypti (yellow fever mosquito)
Lineage: Eukaryota; Metazoa; Arthropoda; Insecta; Diptera; Culicidae
Exons: 2
Source: RefSeq, a predicted model, not a curated record